RNAcentral lists this unclassified non-coding RNA (263 nucleotides) under plant metagenome. Its description in RNAcentral is "partial contains small subunit ribosomal RNA, internal transcribed spacer 1, and 5.8S ribosomal RNA". The record is from RNAcentral.
UUUCCGUAGGUGAACCUCCGGAAGGAUCAUUGUUGUAUAACCGAGGUGCGAGGGCUGUCGCUGACCCGAAAGGUCGUGCACGCCCGAGUGCCCUCACACACAUCCAUCUCACCCCUAUGUGCACCACCGCGUGGGUCCCCCUUUGGCUUGUUCGGAGGGGGGCUUACGUUUUCACACAAACUUUGUAUGCAGUGUAGAAUGUAUUUUUUGUUUUUGCGAUCACGCAAUCAAUACAACUUUCAACAACGGAUCUCUUGGCUCUC